Molecule: ribosomal RNA, 468 nt
Filed under: uncultured bacterium
Lineage: Bacteria
Description: partial 16S ribosomal RNA
Rfam family: Bacterial small subunit ribosomal RNA
Source: RNAcentral
GACGAACGCUGGCGGCGUGCUUAACACAUGCAAGUCGAACGGAAAGGCCCUGCUUUUGUGGGGUGCUCGAGUGGCGAACGGGUGAGUAACACGUGAGUAACCUGCCCUUGACUUUGGGAUAACUUCAGGAAACUGGGGCUAAUACCGGAUAGGAGCUCCUGCUGCAUGGUGGGGGUUGGAAAGUUUCGGCGGUUGGGGAUGGACUCGCGGCUUAUCAGCUUGUUGGUGGGGUAGUGGCUUACCAAGGCUUUGACGGGUAGCCGGCCUGAGAGGGUGACCGGCCACAUUGGGACUGAGAUACGGCCCAGACUCCUACGGGAGGCAGCAGUGGGGAAUAUUGCACAAUGGGCGGAAGCCUGAUGCAGCGACGCCGCGUGCGGGAUGACGGCCUUCGGGUUGUAAACCGCUUUCUCCUGUGACGAAGCGUGAGUGACGGUAAUGGGUAAAGAAGCACCGGCUAACUACGUG